RNAcentral lists this ribosomal RNA (335 nucleotides) under uncultured bacterium. RNAcentral describes it as "bacterial SSU rRNA". It matches the Rfam family "Bacterial small subunit ribosomal RNA", at positions 259 to 586 of the family's 1533-position model. The record is from RNAcentral.
AAAGGCCUACCAAGACAAUGAUGCAUAGCCGAGUUGAGAGACUGAUCGGCCACAUUGGGACUGAGACACGGCCCAAACUCCUACGGGAGGCUGCAGUAGGGAAUCUUCCACAAUGGGCGAAAGCCUGAUGGAGCAACGCCGCGUGUGUGAUGAAGGCUUUCGGGUCGUAAAGCACUGUUGUAUGGGAAGAACAGCUAGAGUAGGGAAUGACUUUAGUUUGACGGUACCAUACCAGAAAGGGACGGCUAAAUACGUGCCAGCAGCCGCGGUAAUACGUAUGUCCCGAGCGUUAUCCGGAUUUAUUGGGCGUAAAGCGAGCGCAGACGGUUGAUUAA